AAAAAAAAAAAAAAAGGGGUAGCCAUUGAUGAACAUGCGGAUCAGUUUGGCAAUUAAAAUAGCUGGUAUGAGGUUAUGUUGGGCAUUUGAGUUGAAUUACAUAAGCAAGCUAUUGAGAAUUCACCGCUUUUGUUUUGUCAUUGAAACAUUAUUUUUGUUAUUGAACUCUGGGUACUAGCUAAUAUUUGUUGUCUUUCCUACACUGAAUUACUAUUUAAUCAUACCUUGUGAAUUUGAGUUGUUGUCUACCAUAUUAUUCAAUGAAACUAUUGCUUUAGAAUGUUGAGAAAUACCGGCCUAGAAGUGUGGAUUAAUAAACAGGCAGGCAGGUCUCCAUGCUGAAUUGGGCUCCCUGUCACCAAAGUGGCCUAAGCUGUUUUGGUUUGGUUUGCUAAGACCUAUAUUAAUUUUCUUGUAAACUGUCGAUGUGGGACUUGUUUCCGCAAGCCAUAUUCCAUAUCCCCUCUAGUGCAACUGAGUUCAGCUCUGACUUUACAGGCCCAGUUGUCAUCUGGCAUUGUAUGGGGUGACAUUUAACUGGGGUUUGGCUCCUCUUGGCUCUACCCUCAAAGGUCUAAGUCACUGGGCUAGCCCAUGAAUCCACAUGAGUGUGGCUCAAUUAGCUCCACUUAUGGCUGUGGCUCAUUGCUGCUUAGUCCACCAUGCUUUCAAGUCUUGGAUCUAUUGCUAUUAGGCCUCACUGCUCUAAUACCAUGUUGAGAAUCACGGGCCAAAGAGUAUGAAUCGAUAAACAUACAGGCCUCUAUGAUGAAUUGGGCUUGAAAUUGAGCUCUCCAUCACCAAUACGGCUUUGGUUUGCCAACAAUUAUAUGCCUUUUAAUUUUUCUUGUACAGUGCAAAUGUGGGAAUUGUUCCCACAAGCCAUAUUCUAACAGAAUCCAACAAACUGUUAUUUGUUCACUGUAACUUUUAUAUUAGCAGAAUUAUAUUAUAUGAUAUGGUAAUAUUGAUGUGAACAUUGAGGAGGCAUAUUGAUGUGAACCAUCAGUUAUAGAUUUAGAACUCACAUAUGCUAAUAUCUCUGUAGCUUUUUAUGCGUUACAAGCAGUUUAUUCUGUAACCUAGCUGGAAUGUUGCUACCUUCUUGCUGAACCAUAAGAUAGGUUUCUGACUUUUCGGUUUCUGACUUUCCCUUUUCUGCAUUUCUGAAUGGAAAUUAGGGGGCCUAAUUAAACAGUAUGGGUUUAUUUAACCAAGUGGAGUCUUGCAAAUUACGCUAGUGAUGUCUUGCUUGCUUUUGUGACAAAAUGGAAGAAUGGAAUAAAGCAUUCAGUCUAUCAGUUUGAGGCAUCUGUUUUUCAAAGUGAUUUUGAAAUAGCCAACUACCAUCAUUGUAAUAAUUGAAUUUUGUACAUGUGUAAUCUAAUCUUAUCAGGGAUGUCUGUUUAAGCUCAUGAAAUCAGAAUCAAUUAGCAUUCUGCAAAUUACACCAA
RNAcentral lists this unclassified non-coding RNA (1454 nucleotides) under Hevea brasiliensis (rubber tree). Lineage: Eukaryota; Viridiplantae; Streptophyta; Magnoliopsida; Malpighiales; Euphorbiaceae. The record is from RNAcentral.